Molecule: ribosomal RNA, 403 nt
Filed under: uncultured bacterium
Lineage: Bacteria
Description: partial 16S ribosomal RNA
Rfam family: Bacterial small subunit ribosomal RNA
Source: RNAcentral
AUUGAACGCUGGCGGCAUGCCUAACACAUGCAAGUCGAGCGAGCGGCGGACGGGUGAGUAAUGUUAUGGGACUGCUCGAUAGAGGGGGGUAACUACCGGUAACAGUAGCUAAUACUGCCUACUAUUGGAUAACCCAUAUGGGAUUAGUUAGUAGGUGGGGUAAUGGCUCACCUAGGCGACGAUCCCUAGCUGGUCUGAGAGGAUGAUCAGCCACACGGGGACUGAGACACGGCCCAGACUCCUACGGAGGCAGCAGUGGGGAAUAUUGCACAAUGGGCGCAAGCCUGAUGCAGCCAUGCCGCGUGUAUGAAGAAGGCCCUAGGGUUGUAAAGUACUUUCAGUCGGGAGGCGUUACCGAAAGAAGAAGCACCGGCUAACUCCGUGCCAGCCGCCGCGGUAAUAC